Molecule: long non-coding RNA, 882 nt
Organism: Perca fluviatilis (European perch)
Lineage: Eukaryota; Metazoa; Chordata; Actinopteri; Perciformes; Percidae
Exons: 6
Source: RefSeq, a predicted model, not a curated record
GUAGCAGACAGCAGCCCAUAGGGCAAGUUUGGCCAAGGUAUACAAGGAAGCAAGUGGGUCACUUUACAGUUCCAUUCACAAAUACAAGCAGCCACACCACGCCACUCAUGGCUCAACACGCUACACUCUGAAAGUGCCUUUUGAUGACCCUGUUGUCAUGCAACAGUUAAUCAAAGAUGCAAAGAUGUAGCACAGGCUGGACAUUACCUACACACUGACCAUUCUGCCUGAAAAUGAGCCUUUUUACCAACUAGCAUCAGUGAUGGCAUUAACUGAUGCCUCUCCUCCAGCCUUUGAUGCUGUCUGUUCGGAGUCUGGCAUCAGCUUUAAACUGGACCACCGACCUAUUGACUACCUGUGGGAGAUCUAUAUCGGCUCAGAGCUGCUGGCAGCUAAGCACGGCUACAUCAUGAGCAACAACAGCCAGACACUGCUGCUUGAGGACAUUACUUUGGAGGGCUUCUUCGGGACUUGAGCUCCUCAUGCGGGAUCAUGAAACAUUAGAGGUCUAGAGCUCAACUGUCAAGACUUGUCAGUUCUCUACUACUGAACUCGUGUGUUUGACUGAUGGCAAGAUAACUGUAGUGGCUGACUUGUCUCUGGCCAUCACAAGUGGGAGGAGUUUCUGCUAGAACCAACCUGGUAGACAAACUGUGGGCCCAAAGAUGAUCAGCACCAGGGCUCUCUUCUCUUUUCCAAUCAACAGCUGUGGAUCCACAGUCAAGGUCUACGGAGUCCCUUCAAGCCCACUACAGUGCUUCAAACACCAGUGCCCACUACCAUACCCACCCCAAGACCUGUUUCAGUGCAACCUGCUAACUGGCCUCCUGUUAUGUACAUCAAAGUAGCUUUCUAAAGAAUAAUAAAAAUAAUUAAAACCGA